Molecule: long non-coding RNA, 1168 nt
Organism: Mesocricetus auratus (golden hamster)
Lineage: Eukaryota; Metazoa; Chordata; Mammalia; Rodentia; Cricetidae
Exons: 3
Source: RefSeq, a predicted model, not a curated record
GUAAAACCUCAUCCAGAAAGAAGCAAGGACUUAAUCUGGACAGACUUGGGAUCUCAUGUAAAACAGAAGACUGAAGGCUGGGGAUGUGGCUCAGUUAGGAAAGUGUUUGCUGUAUAAACAAGAGGCUCCGAGGUCACAUCUUCAACAGCAAUGUUAAAACCUGCCCGGGUGACGGCUGUCCACAUUCACAGCAGCACCAGGAAGUGCUCUAAAACGGAUCUCACAAGAAAUCCACUGUGAACCGAGCCUGGUCUCCAACUGCUGAUCCUCCUGUCUCCGUCUCUCCUGAGUGCUUGGAUUGCAGACCUGUGCCGCUGGCCUGACUUGAGAGUAGUCCUCUGGAUGCCAGGCAAGGAUGGAAGGAACGAUUUCUUCACAGGACUCAGGAGCCGCGUGGUGGCCAGUCUACAGCUUUUCUGUAGACCCAAGAGCAAACUCACCACUGAUGACCGUGAAUUCUACUUCCUGGUGUUGGAUUCAUCAGCAACAGCAUGAUAGGAAGCCACAACCGAGGUGCAACUGGGCAUCUGAGAGUCUUCAGGGACCAGCCACCUGCAUGGGAACUCCUUCAUGUUUCAGAACAGCUUCUCAUUGGUCUGUCCCCAAACCCCUUGCUCCAGAGAUCCUCCUGCCUCAGCCUUCCAAGUAACCAUGUAAGAACCCUACUUGCUGCCUUGCUCGGCUGCCUUUCUGAUACAGUCUAGGCUUAUAGGCCUAAGGAUGGCACUACCAAAGGUGUGCUGGCCCCUCCUACAUCAAUUAGCUAUUAGAAAAUGCCUCACAUACUUGUCAACAAGUCAAUCUGAUUUGGGCAAUUCUUCAGUUGAGGUUAUCUCUUCUAGCUGAUUCUAGGUGCAUGUCAGGUUGACUGCUGAUGUUAGCUAGGACAGGAGAACCAGAAGCAGCCUAUAUGGUCGCACUUGGCUUGGUCCAUUCUCCCCUCUGGAAGGUGUACAUCAUUCUGUUUACUCUCCUGCUGAAAUAAACUUUUCUCACCAGUUCCAUCCAUGCCCUGGCAUAAAUUCUUCUCCUCUGGGUACACGAGAAGAGACUUCUGACUUCAUAGCUUGAGAUCCUAUGGUAUGUUGGAGGAGAUAUCUCCCCAUGACAAUGUGGAAUGGCAUGUUAGUCUCUGAUUAAACUGUCACUUGAUCUCUUCCGACUCCAA